This 574-nucleotide ribosomal RNA is filed under the name Histoplasma capsulatum. Its description in RNAcentral is "eukaryotic LSU rRNA". It matches the Rfam family "Eukaryotic large subunit ribosomal RNA", at positions 62 to 648 of the family's 3401-position model. Lineage: Eukaryota; Fungi; Ascomycota; Eurotiomycetes; Onygenales; Ajellomycetaceae. The record is from RNAcentral.
AAACCAACAGGGAUUGCCUCAGUAACGGCGAGUGAAGCGGCAAGAGCUCAAAUUUGAAAUCCGGCCCCCCUGGGGGCCUGAGUUGUAAUUUGCAGAGGAUGCUUCGGGCGCGACCGCGGUCCAAGUCCCCUGGAACGGGGCGUCGUAGAGGGUGAGAAUCCCGUCUCCGGCCGGCCGGUCUCGCCCGUGUGAAGCUCCUUCGACGAGUCGAGUUGUUUGGGAAUGCAGCUCCAAAUGGGUGGUAAAUUUCAUCUAAAGCUAAAUACUGGUCGGAGACCGAUAGCGCACAAGUAGAGUGAUCGAAAGAUGAAAAGCACUUUGAAAAGAGAGUUAAACAGCAUGUGAAAUUGUUGAAAGGGAAGCGCUUGCGACCAGAGUCGGCCGCGGGGGUUCAGCGGGCAUUCGUUGCCUGUGCAAUCCCCCGCGGCCGGGCCAGCGUCGGUUUCGACGGCCGGUCAAAGGCCCCCGGAAUGUGUCGCCUCUCGGGGCGUCUUAUAGCCGGGGGUGCAAUGCGGCCAGUCGGGACCGAGGAACGCGCUCCGGCACGGACGCUGGCUUAAUGGUCGUCAGCGAC